GGCUCGAAGCGCGUCGUGGUAUUUCGCGUAUUGUAAUUUCAACACGAGCGGGGUCAAAUCCUUUGCAGACGACUUAGCUGUGCGAAACGGUCCUGUAAGCAGUAGAGUAGCCUUGUUGUUACGAUCUGCUGAGGGUAAGCCGUCCUUCGCCUCGAUUU
RNAcentral lists this ribosomal RNA (158 nucleotides) under Fusarium oxysporum f. sp. cyclaminis. Its description in RNAcentral is "partial 28S ribosomal RNA". It matches the Rfam family "Eukaryotic large subunit ribosomal RNA", at positions 3242 to 3399 of the family's 3401-position model. The record is from RNAcentral. Lineage: Eukaryota; Fungi; Ascomycota; Sordariomycetes; Hypocreales; Nectriaceae.